RNAcentral lists this ribosomal RNA (598 nucleotides) under uncultured bacterium. RNAcentral describes it as "bacterial SSU rRNA". It matches the Rfam family "Bacterial small subunit ribosomal RNA", at positions 35 to 629 of the family's 1533-position model. RNAcentral also lists the same sequence under 1 other name. The record is from RNAcentral.
GCUGCCGGCAUGCUUUACACAUGCAAGUCGAACGGCAGCACGGGGGUAACCCUGGUGGCGAGUGGCGAACGGGUGAGGAAUACAUCGGAACGUAUCUUUAAGUGGGGGAUAACGCAUCGAAAGGUGUGCUAAUACCGCAUAAUCUCUGAGGAGAAAAGCAGGGGAUCGCAAGACCUUGCGCUUUUGGAGCGGCCGAUGCCUGAUUAGCUUGUUGGUGAGGUAAAAGCUCACCAAGGCUUCGAUCAGUAGCUGGUCUGAGAGGACGACCAGCCACACUGGGACUGAGACACGGCCAGACUCCUACGGGAGGCAGCAGUGGGGAAUUUUGGACAAUGGGGGAAACCCUGAUCCAGCCAUGCCGCGUGAGUGAAGAAGGCCUUCGGGUUGUAAAGCUCUUUCAGCCGGAACGAAACGGUUACGGUUAAUACCCGUGACUACUGACGGUACCGGAAGAAGAAGCACCGGCUAACUACGUGCCAGCAGCCGCGGUAAUACGUAGGGUGCGAGCGUUAAUCGGAAUUACUGGGCGUAAAGCGUGCGCAGGCGGUUUUGUAAGUCAGAUGUGAAAUCCCCGGGCUUAACCUGGGAACUGCGUUUU